This 301-nucleotide ribosomal RNA is filed under the name uncultured bacterium. RNAcentral describes it as "partial 16S ribosomal RNA". It matches the Rfam family "Bacterial small subunit ribosomal RNA", at positions 509 to 807 of the family's 1533-position model. The record is from RNAcentral.
CAGCCGCCACGGGAAUACGAAGGGGGCUAGCGUUGUUCGGAAUUACUGGGCGUAAAGCGCACGUAGGCGGAUAUUUAAGUCAGGGGUGAAAUCCCAGAGCUCAACUCUGGAACUGCCUUUGAUACUGGGUAUCUUGAGUAUGGAAGAGGUGAGUGGAAUUCCGAGUGUAGAGGUGAAAUUCGUAGAUAUUCGGAGGAACACCAGUGGCGAAGGCGGCUCACUGGUCCAUUACUGACGUUGAGGUGCGAAAGCGUGGGGAGCAAACAGGAUUAGAUACCCCCGUAGUCCCUGUCUCUUAUAC